RNAcentral lists this ribosomal RNA (761 nucleotides) under Pedobacter sp. RNAcentral describes it as "bacterial SSU rRNA". It matches the Rfam family "Bacterial small subunit ribosomal RNA", at positions 80 to 842 of the family's 1533-position model. Lineage: Bacteria; Pseudomonadati; Bacteroidota; Sphingobacteriia; Sphingobacteriales; Sphingobacteriaceae. The record is from RNAcentral.
UUGCUUCUCGGGAAAGUGGCGCACGGGUGCGUAACGCGUAUGCAACCUACCUCAAUCAGGGGGAUAGCCCGAAGAAAUUCGGAUUAACACCGCAUAAAAUCACAGGAUAGCAUUAUCUAAUGAUCAAAUAUUUAUAGGAUUGAGAUGGGCAUGCGUGUCAUUAGCUAGUUGGCGAGGUAACGGCUCACCAAGGCGACGAUGACUAGGGGAUCUGAGAGGAUGACCCCCCACACUGGUACUGAGACACGGACCAGACUCCUACGGGAGGCAGCAGUAAGGAAUAUUGGUCAAUGGAGGCAACUCUGAACCAGCCAUGCCGCGUGCAGGAAGACAGCCCUCUGGGUCGUAAACUGCUUUUAUUCGGGAAUAAACCUACUUACGUGUAAGUAGCUGAAUGUACCGAAGGAAUAAGGAUCGGCUAACUCCGUGCCAGCAGCCGCGGUAAUACGGAGGAUCCAAGCGUUAUCCGGAUUUAUUGGGUUUAAAGGGUGCGUAGGCGGCUUAUUAAGUCAGGGGUGAAAGACGGUGGCUCAACCAUCGCAGUGCCCUUGAUACUGAUGAGCUUGAAUACACUAGAGGUAGGCGGAAUGUGACAAGUAGCGGUGAAAUGCAUAGAUAUGUCACAGAACACCGAUUGCGAAGGCAGCUUACUAUGGUGUUAUUGACGCUGAGGCACGAAAGCGUGGGGAUCAAACAGGAUUAGAUACCCUGGUAGUCCACGCCCUAAACGAUGAAUACUCGCUGUUAGCGAUACACAGUUA